Molecule: ribosomal RNA, 252 nt
Filed under: uncultured prokaryote
Description: partial 16S rRNA
Rfam family: Archaeal small subunit ribosomal RNA
Source: RNAcentral
ACCGGCAGCUCAAGUGGUGGCCAUUUUUAUUGGGCCUAAAGCGUUCGUAGCCGGUUUGAUAAGUCUCUGGUGAAAUCCCGCAGCUUAACUGUGGGACUUGCUGGAGAUACUAUUAGACUUGAGGUCGGGAGAGGUUAGGGGUACUCCCAGGGUGGGGGUGAAUUCCAAUAAUCCGAGGAAGACCAACUAAGGCGAAGGCGCCUAACUGGAACGAACCUGACUGUGAGUACCUAAAGCUAGGCGCGCUCACAG